This 490-nucleotide ribosomal RNA is filed under the name uncultured bacterium. RNAcentral describes it as "partial 16S ribosomal RNA". It matches the Rfam family "Bacterial small subunit ribosomal RNA", at positions 30 to 507 of the family's 1533-position model. The record is from RNAcentral.
AUUGAACGCUGGCGGCAGGCCUAACACAUGCAAGUCGAACGGUAACAGGAAACAGCUUGCUGUUUCGCUGACGAGUGGCGGACGGGUGAGUAAUGUCUGGGAAACUGCCUGAUGGAGGGGGAUAACUACUGGAAACGGUAGCUAAUACCGCAUAACGUCGCAAGACCAAAGAGGGGGACCCUCGGGCCUCUUGCCAUCGGAUGUGCCCAGAUGGGAUUCGCUUGUUGGUGGGGUAACGGCUAACCAAGGCGACGAUCCCUAGCUGGUCUGAGCGGAUGACCAGCCACACUGGAACUGAGACACGGUCCAGACUCCUACGGGAGGCAGCAGUGGGGAAUAUUGCGCAAUGGGCGCAAGCCUGAUGCAGCCAUGCCGCGUGUAUGAAGAAGGCCUUCGGGUUGUAAAGUACUUUCAGCGGGGAGGAAGGGAGUAAAGUUAAUACCUUUGCUCAUUGACGUUACCCGCAGAAGAAGCACCGGCUAACUCCGUG